RNAcentral lists this non-coding RNA (83 nucleotides) under Leptolyngbya sp. Heron Island J. RNAcentral's name for it is "Glutamine riboswitch aptamer (glnA leader)". It matches the Rfam family "Glutamine riboswitch aptamer (glnA leader)". The record is from Rfam by way of RNAcentral. Lineage: Bacteria; Bacillati; Cyanobacteriota; Cyanophyceae; Leptolyngbyales; Leptolyngbyaceae.
UUCGUUCAUCCAAAGCCUAUGGCUUUUGCCAGGUUUAGGACGGAAGUAGGUAGCGGCUCAGCUGUUACGCGAAGGAACGUACC